This 317-nucleotide ribosomal RNA is filed under the name Paraclisis hyalina. RNAcentral describes it as "partial 12S ribosomal RNA". Lineage: Eukaryota; Metazoa; Arthropoda; Insecta; Psocodea; Philopteridae. The record is from RNAcentral.
AAACAACGACAAUUGUUUGUGUUGAGUAUAGAUUGUUUUUCUUGAAAAACUAAAUUACGUGGCGGCUGAACAACUAAAUAGAGGGGUAUGUUUUAUAAAUCGAAUUUACGCGAAUAUCUUAUCUAAUCUUGAAUUAAAUUUCAUUUUACACACCGCCGUCGGAAGUAUAAAUUGUUAGAUUUAUUCUUUUUCUUAUUUUAGGAACUAAGUCAGGUCAACGUGUAGAUAAUGGUUAGGUCAAAUUGUAUCUCUCUAUUAUUAUUAUUAUGUUCUUUUAUAAAUUUGAAAUAGUAUUAGAUAAUUGAAUUUAUAAGUUA